GAAGCUUUUUGGCGGUUAAGGCGAUAGACUCGAAAUCUAUUGGGGUAACCCGCGUGAGUUCAAGUCUCACAGCU
Molecule: transfer RNA, 74 nt
Filed under: Phytophthora infestans (potato late blight agent)
Lineage: Eukaryota; Oomycota; Peronosporomycetes; Peronosporales; Peronosporaceae
Description: tRNA-Ser
Rfam family: tRNA
About the family: Transfer RNA (tRNA) molecules are approximately 80 nucleotides in length. Their secondary structure includes four short double-helical elements and three loops (D, anti-codon, and T loops).
Source: RNAcentral